Molecule: long non-coding RNA, 2119 nt
Organism: Aethalodelphis obliquidens (Pacific white-sided dolphin)
Lineage: Eukaryota; Metazoa; Chordata; Mammalia; Artiodactyla; Delphinidae
Exons: 2
Source: RefSeq, a predicted model, not a curated record
UCCCCUUCUUUAAGGACUCGACUACUACUUCACAGUCGUCCUCUCCCCUGCGUUACCCCUGCUGCUGUCCUGGAGGUAUCGGCAGCCACUGUCGUGUGACCUAAUACCCUAGUCUCCCAGGUCCUUGACAUCCUGGGCUCUAAAGACUGCCUUCCCCGUUCUUGAGUCACCAGACUCAGGCCAUUCGCUGAAGCUGGAGUCAGAUAGUCCUCUUCUGCCCCAAGUUCUGCAUCCCCUCCUGCAGCCACAUGCUCUCAGGUUCCACACUGUCAGUUAUUUCUUUGCAUUCUUAGCUUUCUCCACAGAAUCAUGCUAUUUGCCUAUAAAUGUGCACCUACUUAAAGAUAGUCUGAUGAUCUUACGUUUUGUCCAAGGCUGGACUAACCGUCCCUUCACCGCUAGACAGCAUUUGCUUCUACAGCACCUCCCACUAGCACAUCUAAUCACCCUACCUGCGUUUGUGACCAUAUGAUACUCUGCCUUACUUGCUGUAAUGGAUGAAUGGUUCACAUUCUUUCGAAAGCUGGUUUCUUCAUUUGUCUUCCAUUGAUCUACAUCCUAUUAUUUACUGUCCCAUUUCUCUGCUUCCCUGUGUAACUCCUGAAAAGAGUUGUCCACGCCAACUGCCUUUAAUUUCUGUCUGCAUAUUGGCUCUGGAGCUCACCCUAAUCAAGCUUAUGUCUCCACAAAUUCACUGAAAUUAUUCUUGUAAAACCACCAGUCGUCUCCACGUGGCCAAAUCUAGUUGUCAAUCUUCAUCCCUUGUCUCGCUUGAACUUUCAGAAGCAUUUUCCACAACGAAUCACUCCCUCUUUCUUUUCUUUUUUUUUUUUUUUUGGCCACACCGAACAACAUGUGGGAUCUAACCUGUGACCACUGCCGUGGAAGCGCAGAGUCCUAACCACUGGACUGCCAGGGAAGUCCCCCCCUCACUCCCUCUUUCUUGAAACGCUCUCUGCACCUGUCUUCAGCAGCCCUGCACUCUCCUGGUUUUCCUCCUUCCUUAUUGGUUGUUUCUUCUCAGCCUCAUUUACUGGCUUCUCCUCCUUCCAAAUGCAAAAUGUUGGAAUACCCUGGAGAUCAGCCUUUCCGUCUCCUUUCUAUCUACAGUCAUUCCCUGGGUAAUCUUCAUCCAGUAGUAUGGCUUAAGUACAGUCUUCUGAUUGCUUUCAAACUGAAGUCCCCAACCCUGAGCUCUCUUUGUGUUGGUCAGUCUCCUGAGAUGGCUGCCACCCAAUCCCUCUAGGCACAUGCCACUCUUCUCAUCAAACGGUGGAGUCUGUGUUCCCUCCGCUCACGUGUGCUGGCCCUGUGACAUGUUUUGACAAAUAGGAUAUGGCAGAAGAGGUGCUCUGUCAUUUUGGACCUAUCCUUUAUGAAGCCUGACAACUUCUGAUCUCGUCCUUUCUGGAGAAACCAGUCGCCACGUAAGAAGUCUGACUCCCUGAGGUGCCAGAUAUGUGAAUGAAGAUACUCUGGACCUUCCCACGUAGCCCACUACUGAAUGCAGCCAAGGUUAUUAAGCUUUUCUACUGAGAGGCUGUUGAUCUACUGAAAACUGCCAGUGACCAAAAUGACAAUUGGAAUUUGAGCCAAAAGUAUAUGUGCUUCCACCUCGUGCUAGAACUAACAGGUCUGAAUGAUAAUGAAUGUCAGUCCCUGGUCCCGAGUGAUAUUCUUAUUCUUUGCAGCUUUAGUCAGACAAACCAGUCUGGUCCAUCAGACAGAAAGCAGUUUGACCUGAGAUGCCCAGCCCUUCCACUCUACCAGAAGGUGAUGAUGUUUUCUUAGCCCCUGCUGUCUGCCUCAAUGUCAGGCGAAAGCAACUUUGAAGAGCGAGGGACCUCCCCCCCGCUUUUCCCUCUGCCUGGCACGGUCUUCCCCCCUUUACCCAUGUAGCUUUGCUCCCUCAACAGUCUCAAGUCUUUACUUAAAUGUCAUCUUUUAAAUGAUGCCUUCUUGGACCACUGUAUUCAAAAUUUCAUCUCCCUUUAUCAGCAACCUUGCUUAAUUUUUCUCUGGACACUUGGCACCCUCUAACAUAGAAUGUAACUGACUUUCUUAUUUUGUUUAUUGUCUGCCUUCUCCCACUAGAAUAUAAGGGCUGUAAGUACAAAUA